RNAcentral lists this ribosomal RNA (507 nucleotides) under uncultured bacterium. RNAcentral's name for it is "partial 16S ribosomal RNA". It matches the Rfam family "Bacterial small subunit ribosomal RNA", at positions 28 to 522 of the family's 1533-position model. The record is from RNAcentral.
GAUGAACGCUAGCUACAGGCUUAACACAUGCAAGUCGAGGGGAAACGAUAUUGGAAGCUUGCUUCCGAUAGGCGUCGACCGGCGCACGGGUGAGUAACGCGUAUCCAACCUGCCCACCACUUGGGGAUAACCUUGCGAAAGUAAGACUAAUACCCAAUGAUAUCUCUAGAAGACAUCUGAAGGAGAUUAAAGAUUUAUCGGUGAUGGAUGGGGAUGCGUCUGAUUAGCUUGUUGGCGGGGUAACGGCCCACCAAGGCGACGAUCAGUAGGGGUUCUGAGAGGAAGGUCCCCCACAUUGGAACUGAGACACGGUCCAAACUCCUACGGGAGGCAGCAGUGAGGAAUAUUGGUCAAUGGGCGAGAGCCUGAACCAGCCUAGUAGCGUGCAGGAUGACGGCCCUAUGGGUUGUAAACUGCUUUUAUAAGGGAAUAAAGUGAGCCUCGUGAGGCUUUUUGCAUGUACCUUAUGAAUAAGGACCGGCUAAUUCCGUGCCAGCAGCCGCCUAA